ACAUUUUGCAUUUUUAUUCUUCAGAUCCUCCACGUCUCUACAGAAACAUCCAUUUGGGUGUGAGCAAAGGUUUAGUUCCCACAGCCGUGCGUGGGCCUCCCGUGUUCAAGCCCAUUAAAACAAAGAGUGAAGGAGAUCUGCUGGCACCAGGCCCUGUGCAAAGCUCACUGGGGCUGAUGAGUUUUCCUGAUAACUUUGAGGACUUUGGACCCUGCCCUUUGGCACUUGUGCCUGAGUGCCCUCAGAAGGGAUUUAUGCCCUGUGGGUAAGAGAGGGAGCUGCUGGGAAGCCUGUUCCAUUUUCUCAUCCACAGAGGGUUUUUGUAUUAAAAGAUGUGUUUUGGGUAGGGCAGAUAAAACUUGUGCAACAUCAUUAUCUGUGUUUCUGCAGGAGAAUCACUUACAGGCUCUCUCACAGCGUAUGGAGGGAUGUGCUGGCCUGAAUCUGCUUCAGGAUGCAUUUGUGCUGGGGAUGGUUUGGAUCUGUUUGGAUCAUUUGUGCCAAGACAGAGAAACAGCAAAAGCAUCAUGCUCUGAAUGCUCAUUGGAAGGAUUUUGCUCUUGCCAAUUUCAGACUAGUUUCCAACCAGCUUCUGCCAUGGAAGGUUUUGUUUGGAAGCACCAUUCCACAAGGAAAACAAUUGUGUUUUUGCUUGAAAUUGCACAGUUCUCCAUAUUUCCUUAUCUUUAGCUAAGUGGCCAUCACCUCCUAAUUAUAGUUUCCUCUUUUUUUAACUACUGUGCUCAAUUUACAGCCUCUCUAAUUACUCUUACCUUGUUUGUUUAAUGAAGCUUAUAUAAUGAUUCCUGUGAUCUUCAUGAAACGUUACGCUGGGAUUUUACUUUUCACUUUAUAAACUGCGAUUUUAUAUUAAUGUUUUUAACCUCAGGUUUCUAAUCAUAAAGUCAUAAGGAGUUUAAUUGAUUUGAAACUAGCCAUGCCCUGAAGUGUGUACAUGUCAGAUUGAUUCAAAUUGAUCCAACGUGUUUAAAUAAAACUCAUGCCAAAAGCCCGUCGCA
Molecule: long non-coding RNA, 1019 nt
Filed under: Parus major (Great Tit)
Lineage: Eukaryota; Metazoa; Chordata; Aves; Passeriformes; Paridae
Description: lncRNA (ENSPMJG00000005604.1)
Source: RNAcentral